This 407-nucleotide ribosomal RNA is filed under the name uncultured prokaryote. Its description in RNAcentral is "bacterial SSU rRNA". It matches the Rfam family "Bacterial small subunit ribosomal RNA", at positions 355 to 776 of the family's 1533-position model. RNAcentral also lists the same sequence under 1 other name. The record is from RNAcentral.
UGGGGAAUAUUGGUCAAUGGAGGAAACUCUGAACCAGCAACGCCGCGUGAAUGAUGAAGGUCUUCGGAUUGUAAAGUUCUUUUCUAAGGGAAGAAGAUAGUGACGGUACCUUAGGAAUAAGCCUCGGCUAACUACGUGCCAGCAGCCGCGGUAAUACGUAGGAGGCAAGCGUUAUCCGGAAUGACUGGGCGUAAAGGGUGCGUAGGUGGUUUAGCAAGUUGGUAGCGUAACCCCGGGGCUCAACCUCGGAACUACUACCAAAACUGUUGAACUUGAGUGCAGGAGGGGCAAUUGGAAUUCCUAGUGUAGCGGUGGAAUGCGUAGAUAUUAGGAGGAACACCAGUGGCGAAGGCGAAUUGCUGGACUGUAACUGACACUGAGGCACGAAAGCGUGGGGAGAAAACAGG